RNAcentral lists this ribosomal RNA (200 nucleotides) under uncultured bacterium. RNAcentral's name for it is "partial 16S ribosomal RNA". It matches the Rfam family "Bacterial small subunit ribosomal RNA", at positions 8 to 213 of the family's 1533-position model. The record is from RNAcentral.
AGAGUUUGAUCAUGGCUCAGAUUGAACGCUGGCGGCACGCCUAACACAUGCAAGUCGAGCGGUAACAUGGAUAGUAGCAAUACUAUUUGAUGACGAGCGGCGGACGGGUGAGGAACACGUAGGAACCUGCCCUCAAGCGGGGGACAACCAAGGGAAACUUUGGCUAAUACCGCAUAAACUCGAGAGAGUAAAGCUGCCGA